UACGAAGGGGGCUAGCGUUGUUCGGAAUCACUGGGCGUAAAGGGCGCGUAGGCGGCUUUAUAAGUCGGGGGUGAAAGCCUGUGGCUCAACCACAGAAUUGCCUUCGAUACUGUAGAGCUUGAGACCGGAAGAGGUAAGUGGAACUGCGAGUGUAGAGGUGAAAUUCGUAGAUAUUCGCAAGAACACCAGUGGCGAAGGCGGCUGACUGGUCCGGAUCUGACGCUGAGGCGCGAAAGCGUGGGGAGCAAACAGG
This 253-nucleotide ribosomal RNA is filed under the name uncultured bacterium. RNAcentral's name for it is "partial 16S ribosomal RNA". It matches the Rfam family "Bacterial small subunit ribosomal RNA", at positions 524 to 776 of the family's 1533-position model. The record is from RNAcentral.